AAUGGUUCUGGGUUCAGACUGUCCUUUUGGAGGCGGAGGGAGGCUCAGUGAGGUGAAUAUUAAUGCAAAUCAAACCCCCAGUCUGGUUCCUCUGUGAGGAAAAAGGGCAUGCAGUGUGGGAUGGGAGCCAAUAACCAAAGGAGAUAGAAGCAAGGAAA
Lagopus leucura (white-tailed ptarmigan) is the source of this 158-nucleotide long non-coding RNA. RefSeq lists it as uncharacterized. The record is from RefSeq and is a predicted model, not a curated record. Lineage: Eukaryota; Metazoa; Chordata; Aves; Galliformes; Phasianidae. The transcript is spliced from 3 exons.